Molecule: long non-coding RNA, 4054 nt
Filed under: Salmo salar (Atlantic salmon)
Lineage: Eukaryota; Metazoa; Chordata; Actinopteri; Salmoniformes; Salmonidae
Description: lncRNA (ENSSSAG00000100146.1)
Source: RNAcentral
GUUGCCGUUGUCUAACCUGAUUUAUCCAAUAGCUUUUCCAACAGCCCUGGACAGCUCGUUCCAUACUGUAUGUCAGUGGCAAUUGGUAAUUUUUGCCAAAUCAAUGCAAAUACAUAGUUUGGUAUCUUUUAUGUUGUAAAGUUUCCCGACGUUUAUGGCUGUAUAAUAUUGGUUUGGCAAGAAUUAUUAAGAGGAAAGGUCACAUCCAAAGAGAGGCAAUAAGGUGACAAAUGAACUGUCAAAGAGCACACUCACAAACACCAUUAAAAUCAGGAGUGCUGUUUGAUUGUAAAGCCUCUCAAUAGCUCUGCAAACUUUCUCCUGUUUGCAGAUUGUAUAUUUUAAAGUGAGUGGUAAAGCCACUUUUUCAAAUCAUCUGCCCACCAAACAGAUCAGAACUUUUAAGGUCUGAAUCAAAAGGCCCAGCAAAUGUCACUCAAACACUUUUGGGAACCAUUAUCCAACCGUCAAACUAACAUACUUUAGCUGGAAAGCUUCACUUGUAGACACAUAUCUCUAACUUCAAAACCAUUUUCAAAUGGAGUCAAGUUAGGGUCCUGUUCAAUACAGGCAAAAUGUCACAUUGAAGAUGGUUUUGGCAUGUAACAUAAUCCAGUGUUCUCUGUAGGCUUCUCCAGAAUGUACCAUUGUUUGGGGCCUCCCAAGUGGCGCGGCCGUCUAAGGCAGUGCAUCGCAAUGCUAGUGGCGUCUCUACAGACCCUGGUUCGAUCCCAGGCUGUGUCGCAGCCAGCCGCAACCGGGAGACCAAUGAGGUGGCGCACAAUUGGCCCAGCGUCGUCCGGGUUAGGGGAGGGUUUGGCCAGCUGGGAUGUCUCAUUGCACUCUAGCGACUCCUUGUGGUGGGCCGGGCACACGCUGACUCAUGUUGCUAGUAGUACAGCCUUUCCUCCGACACAUUGGUGUGGCUGGCUUCCCGGUUAAGUGAGCAGUGUGUCAAGAAGCAGUGCGGGAUGGGACAAGACCAAUUGGAUAUCACGAAAAAGCUCAAACAAUAAAACAAUGUCCCAUUGUUGGAUCCUCGUUUAGUUUUUAGGCACAGACUCAGAAAUUACCAUUCUUGUUUAUACCCUCAAGCUAGACUUUCGCAAUACUGUAUGUUUUUAAUAAAACCAAGUCAUUAUUCUUCCAAUGGACCAUACCAUCAUACAUUUUUUUUAAAAGUUUUCCAUCCUUCCUCACCCAGGCUACAACAACAAAAAAGAUCCAGAAACCUUCCUUCUCAUUUCUUGGAAUGCAGUCAGGUUUCAGCCAUCACUCGAGCGAACAGGGGUUUGAUGCCUCGACCUGGUUAAUGCCGCCGCAGAAACCACUUUGCUUUGUGCUUUUAUGGACAAGCGUUACUGUGACUGUAUUUAAAUUGUAUACCCUUCCCUCCCCGUGGUGUUGGAAGAAGCUGUAUUGGGAGGAGGAUGGCAUCAACAACCUGGAAAGAUGUUUGUGGUGCACUCGCUCAUAAAACUUUUUGAGUGAUAAAUCAGUGAUUUUCUUCAAGCUUGAUAAAAAGCAGUCAGUUACAAUGUAAAAAGACAGAUUGAAGGUGUCAAUCAGAGGACAGAGAAAUGUGUGUGCACCAGGUCAAGGCAUCUUGCAUGCAUGGCUUCGAGAUCAUGCAUCCAAGAAGCUUUGGACGAAGGACUUCCACAGAGCCGCCACCCUCAAAAAGACAAUAGUUCUGUACUGGGUUUGAUUUAGUUUUUGUUGUUUUAAAUAUUUACAUUUUGUAAAUGAACUUUUAAUCUCGUCUUCACAAGAAUGUUUAUGAUUUCAAGUUGUAUUGGAUUUAUUUUUUAUCUGAUAAGACAUUGAAUGCAGUACAUGUUGUUUAGUAUAUUUAGUACAUUAAGUAUGUUUAGUUCUCUGUGAGAAGCAAGUUCAUUUAAAGUUAAAUGUGAUUUGGUUCAUGUAGAUACAACAUGUCAAUGUUGUUAAUACCCAGAAACUUGAUUUUAAUCUGCAUAUUCAUACUGAAUUUGCCACAACUAUUUGCCAGAAGCCUGUUUUUUCGGUAAGGGUAGGGUUUGUUUUGAAUUAUUUAAAUUUCUAUUCCUAUAUUUCCAGUAUAGCUAGGAUGUCUGUCUGAAUAGUGACAAGAUCAGCCUGAAAGUCUGAAUUUGCAUUUGUUGAAUUGUUGGGGAUAAUAUUGAAUUGGGAAUUUAAUUAUUGGAAUUAUCUAACAUUGGAAUUCAAAGGAACUGAAUUACUGUACAUCUGAAUUCAAAGACUGACCUGGAAUUUGAAUUGAAUUAAAUGGAAUUUACAGGGAGAGAGAAUUUAAUUAUAAUUUAAUUAGUGGAAUUGACCCCGACCCUGGUGUUAGGUUUAUCCCUAAACGUCCUUUGCCACCAGUUUAAACAAAUCAUAAAUUCAUCUAAUUUGCAUGUCUGGUUACUGAGGUUAAACAAUUUCCCUCAAGGGUACAACACCAGUACUCCAACCCAGAAUCUCUACUCCUCUCAGUUACAUUCUGAGCCUAAUCUUUGCCCUCCAGUCAAGACCACCCCACUUCUGAUGCAAUAGGGGUUCAAUCUGUCCUCUCAUGGCACUGGCUUGCGAGAUAACUGAUGGCUGAACUGAUGGAGCUCAUUGGAUUGCAUAGGAUUGUGUCUAUCAUGUGUUGGAUAUUAGGGCAGCCUGGCAAGAGGUGAGGGUGCCAGCUGUUGGGUCUUGUGAUCCUGAUUAGAUUGUUGUUUCAGUGUUGAUUGUGUCUAGGAGCAGAGGUGACCUGGGGCUGGGGAGGGAAAAGAUGAUCACCCUUGUGAUCACCCUCCUUUCGCACCCAAACACCUCGCGGAGCUCAACCGUUCGCCAGCUGAUCUUUUGAAGGAUCUCUCUCUCUUUCUGUCUGCAUUGCCUCUCUUUUAACGUCUUGUGUGUCCUUGGUGGUACCUCUCUUUCCCUCUCCUCUCCCCUUUCUGUUUGUAUCUGUCCCUUUUUCUGUCUCUCUCUCGUUUUCUCUUUUUCUCUCUCUCUGCUAUAAGUUAAAGGAGUGAAGGAGUGUUUUAUGCAUCAGUCAUGCUUCAGUACCAGUGAGUGAUUAAAGGAAAGUAUAUGGGCCACAUUGUGAAGUUACAAAGUGGGUGUGAUUCUCCACUUCAACUGCCAGCUUCAAUUCAUUUCUGCAGAGUUGAUUUGGACUGAAAUGACACUUUGUGUGUUGGUUGGUCAGUUUCCAGAAUUGGUUUUGAUUAAGUAAGUACCCAAUGAUGGGGCACAUAGCAAUCUAAUAGUGCUUGUAAUGAAAGUGCAUUUCAAAAGUUAAGGGAUGGCAAAAUGAGUAUGAUGGUGUGUGUGGAGGCUAUAACAUUAAGUGUAACCUAACAAGAAAAUAGUCACAUUGGGUAUAGGAAUAAUAACAAUGUUUGCCUCAGCAUAUUAUGCUGGCGUUGUGAUCUGGUGAGCAGAGGACAAAAUAGGAAAUGUUGAGUUUGUAAAAGAUGUUGUCAAACCUGAUUUUGUUUCCGUCAAAUUGAGUUAGUGAGUGACUAAGCAGAAAAUAUAUAUAUAUUUUUUUUAACUAUAUUUUGGUAUUUUGUUAAUUAGUCCGAUGUUGAAAAACGCAUCAUCAUGUUGUGGCAAAUGACACUUUGCUUCUUGAAAGUCCAAUGUCUUAAACUUGACUACUGACAUGGAAAACAUUUUGUGGGCUAAUAAAAAAAUACCAAAAGAUUGUUUUUUUGUGGAUUUUUCCAUUAACCUUUAGGAUGAGUUGUUGCAAUUUGCUGCCAAAAGCUGCCCAACUGAUCCUUCGCUAAACCCCGCCCCAGACUUUUGGGCAACCAACUGCAGCUCUCCAAUGAAUAGCAACUGUCCUCGAGUCCAACACCUCGGACAAGUUCACAUUUAAAUUGCAUGAAAGCCAGUGAGGGAUAUGGCAAAAACUGAGUGUUAAAAAAAAAAAAAUGCUUGAAUAGCUAAAUAAUUUAACAAUGCACCAGGAUGAUGAUAAUAGUUAGGUGGGUGCUUUUAUUUAUCCUAUUUCACAAAUGUAUUUUUUGCAUAUCCCAACUCCCCCUGACACACCCUUGGAGAGUAG